GAUGAACGCUGGCGGCGUGCCUAAUACAUGCAAGUCGAGCGAACGGACGAGAAGCUUGCUUCUCUGAUGUUAGCGGCGGACGGGUGAGUAACACGUGGAUAACCUACCUAUAAGACUGGGAUAACUUCGGGAAACCGGAGCUAAUACCGGAUAAUAUUUUGAACCGCAUGGUUCAAAAGUGAAAGACGGUCUUGCUGUCACUUAUAGAUGGAUCCGCGCUGCAUUAGCUAGUUGGUAAGGUAACGGCUUACCAAGGCAACGAUGCAUAGCCGACCCGAGAGGGUGAUCGGCCACACGGGAACUGAGACACGGUCCAGACUCCUACGGGAGGCAGCAGUAGGGAAUCUUCCGCGAUGGGCGAGAGCCUGACGGAGCAACGCCGCGGGAGUGAUGAUGGUCUUCGGAUCGUAAAACUCUGUUAUUAGGGAAGAACAUAUGUGUAAGUAACUGUGCACAUCUUGACGGUACCUAAUCAGAAAGCCACGGCUAACUACGUG
Molecule: ribosomal RNA, 497 nt
Filed under: uncultured bacterium
Lineage: Bacteria
Description: partial 16S ribosomal RNA
Rfam family: Bacterial small subunit ribosomal RNA
Source: RNAcentral